RNAcentral lists this transfer RNA (73 nucleotides) under Sphaerobolus stellatus SS14. RNAcentral describes it as "tRNA-Val (AAC) (tRNA-Val-AAC-35-1)". It matches the Rfam family "tRNA". From Rfam's summary of the family: Transfer RNA (tRNA) molecules are approximately 80 nucleotides in length. The record is from RNAcentral. Lineage: Eukaryota; Fungi; Basidiomycota; Agaricomycetes; Geastrales; Sphaerobolaceae.
GGGCAUGUGGUUUGGUGGUAUAAUAUUUGAUUAACAUUGCGAAAGGUCCGGCGUUCAAUUUGCCGCUUGUCUA